UCUCUCUUAACUGAAAAUAUUCUCUUGCUUCAUAUUGUCGUUUUCAGAUUUUCCUAUCUUUACUCCUGAUGUUAAAGAUGGGAUCACUUACCUGAUGUUGUGGGGAGUGGAAUGGGGUUGGUUCUAGGUAUAGAAUAGAGAAAUGAGUAUGUUAUACGUGAUUAAAAGAAAAGCUAUGUGACAAAAAUAGUCAUAUACAUGCAAUGUUGCAAGUGUGGAAAGUACAAUUUGUAGUUAUAGUUGUGCCAUAUUUAUCAUGUGGGAAGCCUUCUGCGACUUUUCUACAGUGUUUUGAACCUUGAAAAAUCAUGCAAAUAUCUUGCACUGCUUGCCAUCUCUUCUGAGUCCUGCAAAACUAUAGCUUUUUGCCAUGAAUGCUUGUGGAGCAACGGAAAUUUUCCUAUUCAAAAGAAGAUCUUUGCAGGGCAAGCCCAACCAUUGAGUGAGUCCAGAGUAGCAUUGUUGGCUUUAUUCUCUAUGGUCUAGGGGCAAGGAAGCCCGCAAGGAUGUUAGUCAACUAGCACUCACAAGAAGGCACAGAUGGGAUGAGUUCACUGGGGUCUCCCUUUCUAGAUGUCCAACGAGCCCUUUUUCUUUUGAUUUGGAAGAUAGUUUUGUGAUCGAUGCGAAGCUGAUAAGAAGUGAAAGUGUGAUUUCCCCCAUGGUUGGGGGCACGAGUUAAGCAUCGAUUCGAAUACUUUUUGGAAUUAAGAGCUCUAAAUUCCCCUUACUUUAGGGCGGCACCUUUUAUUAUUUAUUUUUGGAUUUAAUAAAUAAAUUUGUAUUGAUAAAAAAUGGAUACAACUACUCCGAACAUACCCUUUAGGAUGGCACCUUUAUUCUUAUUGGUCUGUCAGCUCGGCACGAGACUAUUGAUGUCACUGCCUAAAUCAAAUAAAUAGAAUUAUUGGGUAAACAUCUCAAAGGCUCGAUACGCAUAGUUCUAUCACAUUCGAGUUUACCCCUUGCACUUCAAACAGCCCUUUUCAAUUUGAGUUGGGAAAGAAUGCCGAAGUCCAUCCGAGAGGCGUUGCAGCAGUGAGAUGAACCCCAAGAUCAUAUAGAAGCCUGUGAAACCAAACCACCUUGUGAACACGUUUGGAUCUGCGAAGACAAUUGCUCGAAGUUGACCAACAUUCACAAGAAGGCACUGAUGAAAUGAGUUUCUUGAUUGGCUAGGAGUGCAGUUGGAUUCUGCUCCUUUGUGGGGGUCUCCCUUUCUGGAUGGAGAGUAUAGCCCUAAUGCUCCAUUCGAAUUUGCUGUUGAGGGUAACGAAAAGCUAAAUUCUAGGCUGGUUGGUGAUAGGCAUGAAGUGAAGGAUUUUCCUAUGCAAACUGAGCCGGGUCCCCUAAUGAUCGAAGGGGGAGAUUUUUUUAUUUGGCAUGUCACUAUUUCUUUUUAUGAAAAUGUUUAUAUUAUCCUUAAUGAAAUUAUUCUUUCUAUAUUGCAA
This 1451-nucleotide long non-coding RNA is filed under the name Olea europaea subsp. europaea. The record is from RNAcentral. Lineage: Eukaryota; Viridiplantae; Streptophyta; Magnoliopsida; Lamiales; Oleaceae.